This 867-nucleotide ribosomal RNA is filed under the name Balanophora fungosa. Its description in RNAcentral is "eukaryotic LSU rRNA". It matches the Rfam family "Eukaryotic large subunit ribosomal RNA", at positions 60 to 938 of the family's 3401-position model. Lineage: Eukaryota; Viridiplantae; Streptophyta; Magnoliopsida; Santalales; Balanophoraceae. The record is from RNAcentral.
AGAAACUUAUCAGGAUUUCCUUAGUAACUGCGAGUGAAUCGGAAGUGACCCAUUUUUAUAAUCUAGAGAUAUUAUUCUCUCGAAUUGUAGUUUAUAGAAGUACUAUAGGUGAUGGAAUAAAUGCAUAUCACUUGGAAAGGUGUGUUAAAAAGGGUGAAAGCCCCAUGGUGUUUAUUUAUUACUGCUUAAUAUUGUGCUAUCAAUGAGUCGGGUUGUUUGGGAUUGCAAUCUAAAUGGGUGGUAAAUUUCGUCCAAGGUAAAAUAUUUUCGAGGGACCGAUAGAAAACAAGUACCGUGAGGGAAAGAUGAAAAGAACUUUGAAAAGGGAGUCAAAUAGUGCUUGAAAUUAUCGAGAGGGAAGCAAAUGGGUGUUCUUUUUUACCUUUUUCUCAAUAGUAGAGUUCAUGAAAGUUCGUCUGCUUGUUGGUUUAAGGAUCUGGGUGGUGUCAGAUUUAGAUAUGGUGGAUGAAUGUGAGGUUGUAAUAUUUCUUUUUAUUUUUGUUAUCUAAAUUGUUGCUUAUAUUAUGUAUUCAGUUUUGAUUUAUAUCGGCAUUUUUUAAACACCAUUGAUAUGGAUGCUUAUUUGACCCGUCUUGAAACACGGACCAAGGAGUCUGACAUGUGUGCGAGCUGAUGUGUUGGAAACACUUUAGGCAUAAGGAAGCUAAAUAAUGGGAUCUCUUGCACUAUUGAUUGACCUUGAUCUUUUGAGAAGGGUUUGAGUGUGAGUAUGCUUGUCGGGACCCGAAAGAUGGUGAACUAUGCUUGAGUAGGGUGAAGCUAGAGGAAACUCUGGUGGAGGCCCGUAGCGAUACUGACGUGCAAAUCGUUCGUCUGACUUGGGUAUAGGGGCGAAAGACCAAUCGA